This 257-nucleotide ribosomal RNA is filed under the name uncultured bacterium. RNAcentral's name for it is "partial 16S ribosomal RNA". It matches the Rfam family "Bacterial small subunit ribosomal RNA", at positions 793 to 1055 of the family's 1533-position model. The record is from RNAcentral.
GUCCACGCCCUAACGAUGUCUACUAGUUGUCGGUCUUAAUUGACUUGGUAACGCAGCUAACGCGUGAAGUAGACCGCCUGGGAGUACGGUCGCAAGAUUAAACUCAAAGGAAUUGACGGGACCCGCACAAGCGGUGGAUGAUGUGGAUUAAUUCGAUGCAACGCGAAACCUUACCUACCCUUGACAUGGCUGGAAUCCUCGAGAGAUCAGGGAGUGCCCGAAAGGGAACCAGUACACAGGUGCUGCAUGGCUGUCGU